ACCGCCAUUCACGUGACACGCCGCGUUCGCCCGGUCGCGUGCCUCUGCGAGAAGAAGGCGGCAGCAGGCGAAGACAGACGAUGCAGCGCUAUCCUUCAGAGAACGCCGGUCCUCAACGACCUCAGGACGAUACCGCGGAGUCGUGGCAGAGCGCGACGCCGGACUCGCUUUCCUCCUCUUUGGCGGAGGAAGCUCCGGCUCUGCAGCCUCCGGCCUCUGCGCUACCGGAGCUCAGCGGGCUCACACCAGAACGGCUGGCGGUCACCGGACCUUCAACCACGGCGUCCGGUCCUUCGCAGCACGAGCCGAAUUUCGAGCUGGUGCCGAACUCCUUCCAACGCGAUCCAUAUCUACAAAGAGCGCCGGCACCAGCGAACCAGGCACACGAGGCGUCCUCACAGCGCGAGGUGUUCCACACGGCGAACACCUCCUUUCAGCCUGCGCACGUUAACGCCGUCCCGCUGCGCCUGGUGCAAGUGAAGCUUGCGGAUUCCACACCUCAACGAAGUACCAGCAAGUCCAUGCUCUCGUUCUCCGAUAGCGGCGCCGGCGACCUAUGCACGUGCUCGAUAGUUGGUGCGUUGCUCCUGCUUGCGGGCCUGCUGCUCUUCUACUACGUCUUCCGAAUGAGCCUGUCGGCUAGCGAUCAGAGUGGGACCACCACGGAGACCGUUGCUGGCGUCGAGGUCGUGUUACGUCGGGCCGAGCCUCCUAGGGUCGGCAGACUUCCACGGCACGGACGCGAGGAGCAACGAGACUCCAAUCAGAGUGACCCGGUGACGGUCUCCGCGGCAGUCACCACCGAAGAUGUCUUGGACAACGAAGCGGCGGGAGAGAGAACUACCGCUGCGACGUCGAAGGAAACCGUGCCGCCCUGGGAAAAGUCGUGGAGUCCCAAUUCAACAUAACAGGAUCGCUGCGGUCAUGCAUCACACGCACGAACAGUCAAAGUUACCAGGUAUAUACCAUCUACUAUGGAGUAGAAGAGAAAGAAGAACUAUGCUGUGCCAUUGCAGUUCGAACCAUAACAACAGAACCACGCAAGCAACCGAUCUGAUGGCCCAAGUUCCGCAGCUGACAAGAAAACCGCUGCAGCGAGGUGGUCCAACGCAACCGAAGCCAUCGCAAGUCGCUCCAGCCAUCCCGAGGCCGUUGUCUGCACAAUGGACUAGAGCGCACCAGCCUUGCUCGUUCUGGGCUCCAUACCAGCAGGGAGUCAAGGCACCAGACGUGCUGGAUAGGACGAGGCCAUUCCUGAUCAAGGACUACAUGAAGGCGGAUGCGCAUCCACCGGCCGAAGAGGGGCUGUCAUACACCCACUGCGCCUUUCUUCUAACUCUUCUGGCGAUCAUUGCUUGGGCCCUGCUUUUAUUCCGCGUGAUGCAGACGAAGCAACGUCCGGAAGCACAAACUACUGAGUUUUACUUCUUGCGAGACUUUUCCGUCCCCGACCUGCCACGUACGACAACGACGAGUUUUGCCAACGGCACUCUAGUUCCAAGCACGGGACUCACUCCCGAAACAACACACCCAUUUUCUGAAGAGCAAUCGUGAAGGUUUGCGAAGUGUUCCUAUUGUGUGAAUUAGCGAUAAGUGCAAAUAAAGUUUAAUUGCGA
Molecule: RNA transcript, 1616 nt
Organism: Dermacentor albipictus
Lineage: Eukaryota; Metazoa; Arthropoda; Arachnida; Ixodida; Ixodidae
Source: RefSeq, a predicted model, not a curated record